CCUGUUUCUAAAUGCCUGGGGUUCUGUAGUAGGUCUGAAACCAGAGUAAAACCUGGCAUGGGGAAAGUUUGCUGCUGGUCUCUUUCAUCCAAAGAUGUUUUUUUCAGCUUUCAUCGUCAGAGGGAAAAUCUAAAAAUGACAUUUGGUUUAGAUUAAAAAAAAUAAGAUAAAGUAGCCCUGAGAGAGCAGAGCUUUGCUAACAGCUCAGCAGAUCUAGGAGCACCAUGGCUGCUGCCUGCGUGCAUCAGCAGAGGUAAUAGGAAGCAGGGAGGAUGUACCCAACUGUCUGCUCCCUUGAUGCCAUCCUUCUUUGCAAGAUUGAGGAAUUGAUUUUGCUUUGAAAUCUGUGCUCUUGGAGCUCCUGUUGACCCAACCAAGUUACUGCAGUGACACAUGAACCAACACUCCUCUGUCCUAGCAUUUCUGAUACAAGCAGUUGUGCAUUUCUCUUCCACUGAGAGCUGAGGGUCUUCUCAAUUUGUACCUGAUGGAGUGAUGGAUAGAAAUUUGUCAGAGACACAGCAGAUGGAAGAGAAGCUGUUGAAACUCAACUCCAGUUGUUUCUCCUUUUGGAGAAUUAAUUUCCAAUUGCAUUUACUCAGUGUAAUUAUCCUGCGUUGGCUAUAAUGAUUUUUCCAUGUAUGCACCGUGUUCAUUAAUAGUCCUUGUAUUUUUUAGUGCUUAUCUAUAGCCAAGUAAGGAAUGAUAAAUAACUAGGAAUCCAGUCUCCUCUACACCUCAAAUUAUAUUCUGUUACAAUUUUUGGAAAUCCUGGAGAAGGUUCAUUUAGCUUGGUUGAUAUGCAAUGUAUAUGAAAUAAUAAGUUGAUGGGAAAAGUCUCAGUGAUCUCCUGGAGCUGUGUGCCAGACCUAUGCUCUACUUCAUUUCUGUCAAAUAAAAUCAAAGUGCUGAGUACAGUAAUGAAGUAUGAGGAAGGUUGUCUUCUUCCUUCUGUGAUACAGAAUCAUAAAAUCAUAGAAUUGCUCAGGUUGGAAAAGACCUUCAAGAUCAUCAAGUCCGACCUCAACUUAACCAUACUACCCUAACUCUAACAACUCACCACUAAAUCAUG
This 1072-nucleotide long non-coding RNA is filed under the name Gallus gallus (chicken). Lineage: Eukaryota; Metazoa; Chordata; Aves; Galliformes; Phasianidae. The record is from RNAcentral.